GACGAACGCUGGCGGCGUGCUUCAUACAUGCAAGUCGAACGAGAAGCUAGAGCUUGCUCUAGUGGAAAGUGGCGGACGGGUGAGUAAUAUGUAGGAAAUCUGCCCUAGAGAGGGGGACGAACAGAAGGAAACUUACUGCUAAUACCCCACUAUGAGCUUGGUUGAAAUAACCAAUCUUGAAAACUACCGGUGCUCUAGGAUGAGCCUGCACCUGAUUAGCUUGUUGGUGGUGUAACGGCUCACCUAGGCGACGAUCCCUAGCUGGUCUGAGAGGAUGACCAGCCACACUGGAACUGAGACACGGUCCAGACUCCUACGGGAGGCAGCAGUGGGGAAUAUUGCACAAUGGGCGCAAGCCUGAUGCAGCCAUGCCG
RNAcentral lists this ribosomal RNA (374 nucleotides) under uncultured bacterium. RNAcentral's name for it is "bacterial SSU rRNA". It matches the Rfam family "Bacterial small subunit ribosomal RNA", at positions 28 to 399 of the family's 1533-position model. The record is from RNAcentral.